RNAcentral lists this ribosomal RNA (559 nucleotides) under uncultured Rhizopogon. RNAcentral describes it as "eukaryotic LSU rRNA". The stretch from base 91 to 245 matches the Rfam family "5.8S ribosomal RNA". The record is from RNAcentral. Lineage: Eukaryota; Fungi; Basidiomycota; Agaricomycetes; Boletales; Rhizopogonaceae.
CGCCUCUUCUUGUAAAAGUCUUAGGAAUGUUUACUAUCACAAAGUCGCGACUUCUAGGAGACGCGAAUCUCUGAGACAAAAGUUAAUUACAACUUUCAGCAAUGGAUCUCUUGGCUCUCGCAUCGAUGAAGAACGCAGCGAAAAGCGAUAUGUAAUGUGAAUUGCAGAUCUACAGUGAAUCAUCNAAUCUUUGAACGCACCUUGCGCUCCUCGGUGUUCCGAGGAGCAUGCCUGUUUGAGUGUCAGUAAAUUCUCAACCCCUCUCGAUUUUUUUUCGAGGGGGAGCUUGGAUGGUGGGGGCUGCCGGAGACUAGGACUCGUCCUUGACUCGGGCUCUCCUUAAAUGCAUUGGCUCGCGGUCGACUUUCGACUUUGCGCGACAAGGCUUUCGGCGUGAUAAUGAUCGCCGUUCGCCGAAGCGCAUGAACGAACGUUCCGUGCCUCUAAUACCGUCGACGGCUUACUAUCUCUUCGGAGAGAAAAGCGUCUUCCUUCAUUGACUUUUGACCUCAAAUCAGUAGGACUACCCGCUGAACUUAAGCAUAUCAAUAACGGAGGA